This 550-nucleotide ribosomal RNA is filed under the name uncultured bacterium. RNAcentral's name for it is "bacterial SSU rRNA". It matches the Rfam family "Bacterial small subunit ribosomal RNA", at positions 777 to 1325 of the family's 1533-position model. The record is from RNAcentral.
AAUAGAUACCCGGGUAGUCCACGCCGUAAACGAUGAGUGCUAAGUGUUAGAGGGUUUCCGCCCUUUAGUGCUGAAGUUAACGCAUUAAGCACUCCGCCUGGGGAGUACGACCGCAAGGUUGAAACUCAAAGGAAUUGACGGGGGCCCGCACAAGCGGUGGAGCAUGUGGUUUAAUUCGAAGCAACGCGAAGAACCUUACCAGGUCUUGACAUCCUCUGACAACCCUAGAGAUAGGGCUUUCCCUUCGGGGACAGAGUGACAGGUGGUGCAUGGUUGUCGUCAGCUCGUGUCGUGAGAUGUUGGGUUAAGUCCCGCAACGAGCGCAACCCUUGAUCUUAGUUGCCAGCAUUUAGUUGGGCACUCUAAGGUGACUGCCGGUGACAAACCGGAGGAAGGUGGGGAUGACGUCAAAUCAUCAUGCCCCUUAUGACCUGGGCUACACACGUGCUACAAUGGACGGUACAAAGGGUCGCGAAGCCGCGAGGUGGAGCUAAUCCCAAAAAACCCGUUCUCAGUUCGGAUUGUAGGCUGCAACCUCGCCUACAUGAAC